Molecule: ribosomal RNA, 449 nt
Filed under: uncultured bacterium
Lineage: Bacteria
Description: partial 16S ribosomal RNA
Rfam family: Bacterial small subunit ribosomal RNA
Source: RNAcentral
AGCGAACGCUGGCGGCAGGCCUAACACAUGCAAGUCGAACGAACUUUUCGGAGUUAGUGGCGGACGGGUGAGUAACACGUGGGAACGUGCCUUUAGGUUCGGAAUAACUCAGGGAAACUUGUGCUAAUACCGAAUGUGCCCUUCGGGGGAAAGAUUUAUCGCCUUUAGAGCGGCCCGCGUUGGAUUAGCUAGUUGGUGAGGUAAAGGCUCACCAAGGCGACGAUCAGUAGCUGGUCUGAGAGGAUGAUCAGCCACAUUGGGACUGAGACACGGCCCAAACUCCUACGGGAGGCAGCAGUGGGGAAUCUUGCGCAAUGGGCGAAAGCCUGACGCAGCCAUGCCGCGUGAAUGAUGAAGGUCUUAGGAUUGUAAAAUUCUUUCACCGGGGACGGUAAUGACGGUACCUGGAUAAGAAGCCCCGGCUAACUUCGUGCCAGCCGCCGCCGUAA